This is a long non-coding RNA of Apis cerana (Asiatic honeybee), 5941 nucleotides long. RefSeq lists it as uncharacterized. Lineage: Eukaryota; Metazoa; Arthropoda; Insecta; Hymenoptera; Apidae. The record is from RefSeq and is a predicted model, not a curated record.
UCGUUCUUUUUUAUUCCAGAAAUCGAAAAAAUGUAAAUAUAUAUAUGAUAUAAAGCAAAUAUAAAUACGAUAAAUAAUGAGAUCAUAAUCGAAUAUAUUCAUUGUAAUUUAACAUCAUGUUUUUUUGUGUCCUCAAUUACACGAACAAGAUGAGUGAUUGAACCAUAUUACAAUAUUUGUAACAAAUAUGUUACAAGUUAAUCUGCUUGUAGUAAAUUUUAAUCCAAUAAAAUAUUCACUUUUUAAUCGUAUCACACGUGCCUCAAUACAUAUGAUCAUACAUGUAAAUCCAUUAUUAUCGACAGUAUUAAUUUUUGAAUAUUACGUCAAAUAUGAUGUAUGCUUAAGGUGUGAUCUUUGACAUAAGUUCAAUUAUUAAUCAAGUCUCGAUACAAUGAAAUCACGAAAAAACAAUAAUCAUCAAUUGUUUAUUCCAUUUUUAAACGUGCUGAUAAAAUAUAGACUGCGUAUUGCAAAUUUAUAUAAAUUGUACGGAAAAUUACUUAUGUUCAAAGAUAUUUCGCACUUUUGGUAUUAAAUAUUUAUUAGGAUAUUCGUUCUAAAGAUUGUUUCAAUAGUGAUGACUUUUCACCUUUUUGCAAUUACGAUUUUAUUUAUUUAUGGGGGAAAAAACAUGAAAGAAAAUUGUAAUUUCUCGUUUUCGUUUAUAAAUUUCUUUCGAAAUAAAUAUAUGUGUUACUUUUAACUUAUAAAUAAUUUUAUAUUAUUAUUUAUAAUUUAGAGUACUACUUUAUGAGUGAACGAUAUUUUUCUUAACAAAUAUUGUGGAAUUGAUGAUGAAACGACCUAUAUAGAUAAUAUAACCCGCUUAUUAAUAUAUGCGUAUCACCUUUUGCACUCUGUGAAUAAUAUGCGACAAUGGAAUAAGAAACGUUUAACGAGGAAGGGGAAAAAAGUUUACAAGUCAAAUUCUAUCUCAAGACAUAUAAUUUUUUCAUUGAAAACUUAAUGAGCGUUUCUUUGCGUGUUUCUCACACGUCGAAGAUUUCUCGAGAUGAAAUAAAUCUAUUAAAAUAUCAUCAAAACAUAUCUUGCAACGUCAUAUAAUAAAAUGAGACAAUUCUGUACUGUCUAUUUCUCGAAUUUGUUCAAUAAUCAAAACUUUUAAAUAAUCUUAAAGGAAUUUUUUAUAGAUAUUUCACACGUAUAAAAUUAUUCAAAAAGGAACGAAAGAGAAAAUUAUAUAUAAAAGAAACAGAAAACUAUUUAUAAAAUUUUCAGGGAGGAAAAAUAGAGAAAAUUGGAAGAAAAGAAAUGAAUACUCGAUUGAAAAAUAUUGUUCAUCGUAUCAGGUAAUAUUGAUAGCGCAGAAUUACGCGUGGGCCGAAUAACAGAUGCGCAAAAUCGUUCGAAAUAGAAACUCGUAAGAGAAUAUACAUUCAUAAUAGCGACUUUAAUAUCCCAUUAAAUGCAAACUUCACGAUAAGAAUCUUCAUCAUCGAUCAAUAGAUGGAAAAAAAAAGAGAAAAAAAAAGAAAAAAUAACAACAACAACGAAGAGUAAUACAAAGAAUGACAAAAAUGAAACUUAAUUUCUCAUUUUUUAUCCUAUCAAUGAACGUUUCGUUAAUCUCUAAAUCAUGGAUAAAAGAAAAAAAAUGAAAUGACCAUAUUUUCUUGAAUCUCGAGGCGCGUCUUUAAAGCGGACGGCAUAUGCAGAUUACGGAGAUUAAUGGACAAUCGUCAACGUAUCUGGUGUGCGUGGCUGGCAGGCAAACAAGAUUUUUUUUCCAUUUCAUGGAAAAUAACAGAUAAUCAUGGUCAAAUGUUUCUUGUGGCCUACGUGAUCCUCCUAGAUCACGUACACUAAAUCUGAAGCAAAGCGGAUUUUAAGAUUAAAAUUGUCCAAAAGUAAUUGUAUUGAAGACUCGAACAUAAAUUACGAGUUCAGAGUUAUUUAUUAUAUAUAAUUUAAGGGAUUUCUUUAAAUUCAGAGCGUCAUAAAACGAUCAUCAAAAUUACUUUUUUUUUUAACCAACGAAUAAAAUAAACUUUUAUUAUGAAAUUUUUACAUACAAAUUAUUUGAAAACUUUUACGAUUAAUAUGAUCGAUCAAAUAUCAAAGAUGCGUUAUAUUUAUUAAAGAAAAUCUAAAGAGAAAAAUCUAAGAUUAUCCACAGAUUCUUAUAAAAAUUUAGAAAUCGUACGUAUUUAAAUAAAUAAUGUUUGAUAUUUGAUAUUAGAUUGAUAUUAAGGUGAAUAUCGAUGAACAAAUUUAUUAGAUACUUUUUAAUAUUUGAACAAUUUAUUAAAGAUAGAGUUCAGAGGUCAUGGCAUUUAUGAUCUUAGGAGGGGAUAAACAUUUUAUCCUUGGAAUGACUGCGAUAUUGAAAUAUUGAAAUAUUCCUUACAGAAGGGAUGAGCAACGUAAAUAAUGGAAGUUUUUAAAAAUUUACUCUGGCAAUCAUCUUGAUUAUCUUGUUUAUCCUUAAUCAUCGGUUCAUUGUCAGUUGUGUUUUUCAAGCGAUAUGUUUAGAUAACAUAUGCAAAACAUAUGUAUGCGAUGAGAAAAAAGAUUUAAAUUAUAAUUGACAUAAUUCUUCACAUUAUGAUAAUAUCAAUCGAUAUAAUUUAUAUACACAAAUUGAUUUGAAUUUCAUUCUUGGCUUAUUAUUAUUAAAUUAAUACAACUUCUAGUUAAAAGUUUAAAAGUAAUAAUAUGUUUUAUAAAAUCCAAGCGUUUUAAAAAAUAAUGAAAUUACUAUUGAUAUUUAUAAUAUUAAUUUCGAAUUGAUAUCAAAAUUAAAUUUAUAAGUAUAAGAAGAAAAAAAAUAGUGAUUUCAAAUUUCUGAUGAUUUCAAUCGAUAAUCAAUUAAAACCGAUAUAAUCGAAAUAAUAAUCUAGAUCUACAAUAAUCUAGAAUUCCAUCAAGAAUUUUUUUAGAGAAAAAAAAAAAAUUCGAUAAAGUGAUUGUUAAUUAACUUGGUUAAAUUUUUAUUAGCGAAAUAAAUCAGUUUCUAAAAAUUCACUGUUAUGCGAAACUGUAUAAACAUUAUUUGAUUAAUCUUUGUACACAAUUUCAUGGAUAACUUCUGGAUAAUGUAUAAUGGUCCAUAAGUUAUCGAAUAUUUGUUAAUUUUAAACAUAAUAGUUAUUGAAAUAAAUUUAUGAAUUUAAAAUAGAUUCAUUAUCUUUACAACUAUACAAAGACCUAUAGUUUUCUUGAUCAAAUAUUUUUCUAUAUAUAUCUUUUGUGCAAAUAUUUAUAUAUUUUUCUAAAAAUAUUACUCAUUUUGCCAAAUCCACGAUGCUUAUUUUUAGAAUUAAUUCAUUAUAUCCCUACUAUUUAUAAAUUUAAAAAAAAAUAUUACUAUUACUACUAAUUACUUAAAAAUCGAUUAUAAUAUUCGAUUCUUCCUAUUAUAAAUAUAUCCUAAAUUCUAAGUAAUGAUAAAUAAUUUUCUAAUUUUUCAAACUCAGCAUUCUUGCUCAUCCAUUCAUGCUCCAUAAAAACGUAAAACUUUACGAAUUUAUAUUUCCAUAUUUCCAAGUUUUCAACGAUUCUUGUCUCAUCCAUGGAUAAUUAUAGCAACACAAAUCGCAUCGUAGAAAGGCGAACGGUAACAAAAUCAAGCGUUAAGGCUAUAGAAAAGUUACUAGAUCCAAAAUGGCGAGCAACAGAUGGAAACUGAACGUUUCAACGAACACAUUGUUUAUAACCAUCACUGUCCAGUGAUACGUUACAAGCUGGCGCCAUACUUCUCCGUCCACGGAGCAAUUUUAGCAAAGCAUCAUAGGGGCCAAUGGAACGAAGAAGAUGGAAUGUUGGCACAGGGCCGAGAGGCGAAGGUUACGCGUUUCCUCCAUGUGUCCUCGGUCCGUGAUGCGAAACAAGCCGAGGACGGAAACAUCGGCUUACUUUGCUUGUUUUUGAAAACGACUAUGGAAAAUUUCUGACUGGAGUACAUCUGUUGCUCGCGUGUUCUUCAACGUCGAUCCAGCUUUAUGCAAUCCCUCUUGAUAUUUCUGACGAUAAGAGAUCUGUGCAAAUUUCUCUUCGAGGUGAGGCGAAAAGAUGAAGACGAAGAGCGUAAGACAACGAAAUUGAAAUGUGGAAUUGCAUUGUUGUUUGUUAAUCAUACUUAUCGAUACGGUGAGUCAUCAAGAUGGAUAAAUUGAUUAAUCCGUGUGUUGAGUCUACGUAAAGAAAGGUAGGUACAUAAGUACGAUUAAUUUUAAUUUUAACAAUCACAGAAAAGUCAUCGUGAGAGAAAAGUUUUUCUUUUUUUACUUUUCUUACUCGAUUAUUAUAUCAAAAUGUUAUAGAGAAAUAAUAACACUGUCAAUAACAGCAAUCAUAUCAAAUAUCACGUGUGUUUAUUGUAACAUUAAACUGGGAAUUAUGUGUACGGCUGAAUGAACAAUAAUUUUAGCCCGGCCGUACGAUCGCUAUUCAUAAAAAUACGAUAAACGAGGCAUGAUACGCAUGAUUGAUGGAGAACAUCGACCUCCUGCCAGAACCACCCACAACUCAAUCUUUUUCUGAAAAAAAGUGGAUAAUAAUUCUUGAAGAUUCUUCAUAAAAUACAUUUAUGAUUCCAAAAUCCAGAAUUCUAUUUUUAGAGGAAAGAAUGACUGAAUGAGUAAAUACGUUAUAUCGAAUGAUAAAUUUUCUCUAGAGUUUCAAAGUUUGGAAAUCUGAAAGAAAAAAACGAUCGAAUUGCCAAGAUCAUCGACAGAUUUUUCUUCAAUUUAGAAGGAUCAAUUUUAGAUAAACAAUUACUCGACCUGUUUUCAUUUCCAUUGUCACUGACGUCAAUGGAUUCUCCGUUGAAAAUAAUCUUGGCACAUUUGCAAUAUAAUAUUUUUUUUUAUUUUUACGAUAGUUUAAGAGAAAGAAAAAAAUAGAAAAAAAUCUCGACUAAAAAAAACAAAAAGUAGAAAAUUCGAACGAGUUCCAAUUACUUUCAACUUCGGUGACUACUUAUAAAUAUAUCCAAUAAUUGCUCAUUCGUUAAUUAAUGGAAAAAAUGAUAAUUACGAUCACGAGAAAGAGAGAGAUAAAGAAACCGAACCAGUAAUUAUUCUUAUACAAUUUUCUUACCACAAUUUUUUUACUGAUAAAGUCGCUUGUUUAUUUUCAAUCCAACCCGUGAUUGUAAAAUUAUAAAAUCAUUCAAAAUUCAUCGAAUUGGAAAAUAGGCAGCAAUUGCUAUUAGCUUUCAAAAAUAGCGAUUGAUUCAUACAGCUGCUAUUGUGACCGACCCGGGUAUCAUUCACGACCGAUGAACAUCUCUAUUUGGCAAACGAUACCACAUCGGAGGAGCGGAAGAACGUGACGUGGAUGAACCGUGAAGGCGACCUUCCGGAAAUAAAUCGGUCACCGGGCAGCUGAUAUCAUCCGAGAAAUAUUCUCUUUCAUAUCGACUUUCCCGGAACGGAGGAGGAUCAUCUAUGAUCGAGUUUCUUAGCUUAGAAACGCGUCGAUCGGACACGAAGUGGAUUAUUUUUAAACGUACAUUUGGUUAUAAGCAAACGCUCGUUAUUUUCGACUCGUACACGUUUCUGAUGCCCGGUGAGAUAUUGGUGCAAAAAUUUUGUAAAUUAGUAAUAAUGUAGAUUUAAGCAAAUUGAUCAAACUUUUGAUACAGCAACGAGCGAACAUUUCUUCUCGAAACGUAUCUUCGGUGAUAGUGUUUAUGGUGGCGAAAUGUUAUGGCUGGGAAUAGUGAUUGGUCUAAAAAACCAGACAACGAGCGGAAUCCGGAGAGUUGAGAGGGUGUGCGUUUAAUAUUCGAGCGACACAGAGAAAAUCAUUGAAAAAUUAUCGUUGGAAAAUAAUUUCGAUCGAAUACGAAGCGGCAAAGCGAACAAUCGCAGAGAGGAAACGCUGAAACGUGGGCUAGGCGUUAACAUCGCGUGACAGUGGUGCACCGAGUAUACCCGAAUAGAGGAGGGUGUGGCAUGGUGUAAAAUAGAAG